ACACUCCUGCGGGAGGCAGCAGUGAGGAAUAUUGGACAAUGGGUGGAAGCCUGAUCCAGCCAUCCCGCGUGCAGGAAGACGGCCCUAUGGGUUGUAAACUGCUAUUAUCUGGGGAUAAACCUACUUACGUGUAAGUAGCUGAAGGUACCAGAAGAAUAAGCACCGGCUAACUCCGUGCCAGCAGCCGCGGUAAUACGGAGGGUGCAAGCGUUAUCCGGAUUUAUUGGGUUUAAAGGGUCCGUAGGCGGACUGAUAAGUCAGUGGUGAAAUCCGACAGCUUAACUGUCGAACUGCCAUUGAUACUGUUAGUCUUGAGUAAGGUUGAAGUGGCUGGAAUAAGUAGUGUAGCGGUGAAAUGCAUAGAUAUUACUUAGAACACCAAUUGCGAAGGCAGGUCACUAAGUCUUAACUGACGCUGAUGGACGAAAGCGUGGGGAGCGAACAGGAUUAGAAACCCCAGUAGUCCCAUGA
Molecule: ribosomal RNA, 471 nt
Filed under: uncultured organism
Description: partial 16S ribosomal RNA
Rfam family: Bacterial small subunit ribosomal RNA
Source: RNAcentral